GAUGAACGCUGGCGGCGUGCCUAAUACAUGCAAGUCGAGCGAAGCGGGCACGCGUGAGUAACACGUGGAUAACCUCCUAUAAGACUGGGAUAACUUCCGGAAACCGGAGCUAAACCGGAUACUUAGAGAUGGAGCGGCUCGUCAUUAGCUAGUUGGUAGGGUAACGGCUUACCAAGGCAACGAUUCAUAGCUGACCUGAGAGGGUGAUCGGCCAAACUGGAACUGAGACACGGUCCAGACUCCUACGGGAGGCAGCAGUAGGGAAUAUUCCGCAAUGGGCGAAAGCCUGAUGGAGCAACGCCGCGUGAGUGAUGAAGGUCUUCGGAUCGUAAAGCUCUGUCAUUAGGGAGGCGUUACCUGCUCAGAAAGCCCCGGCUAACUACGUGCCAGCAGCCGCGGUAAUUC
This 405-nucleotide ribosomal RNA is filed under the name uncultured bacterium. RNAcentral's name for it is "partial 16S ribosomal RNA". It matches the Rfam family "Bacterial small subunit ribosomal RNA", at positions 28 to 526 of the family's 1533-position model. The record is from RNAcentral.